RNAcentral lists this long non-coding RNA (1516 nucleotides) under Strix occidentalis caurina (northern spotted owl). RNAcentral describes it as "lncRNA (ENSSOCG00000015082.1)". Lineage: Eukaryota; Metazoa; Chordata; Aves; Strigiformes; Strigidae. The record is from RNAcentral.
UUUUCCUAGGUAUUGUACGUAUUUCUGAAAAUUGACAAUAAAAACCAAUUCUGUUUUGGUCUGACCCGACGAGGGUGCUGAAGUGGGGGAGCUUACUCUUCAGGGUUGCUGCUGCAGGCAGCACCUUGAGAGGGUGAGUCACAUCCUGGCUGUUUGCUCUGGUCUUUGAGUGCUUAAUCCAACUUGGUUUUGUGUGCCCAGUGCCCCCCACAGUGACUGAAGCAACGAAGCUGAAUUGGCCAGAAGGCCCUGCAGCAGCAGCUCCUGAUUUCGCUCCCACUGCAGUAACAGCUUCCCCAGGAGAGGCUGAAGCUACUGAUGGACCAAAAGGUGUGGCAUCAGCAGAUGCAGCCUGUGUUCCUGCCUCGGGUGUCAUGUCCGUUUCUGCAGAAAACGCUGGGUCUGUUCUUGCAGGAGACACCAAGCCUCCUCAAGCUCUGGAUGCCGGAUGUGCACCUACAGCAGAAACCAGCCCUCUUCAGGCUGUGGAUGUUGGGUUUGCUCCUGCACCAGAAGCCAAGCCCCCAAAUGUGGUCAACGAUGCAUCUGCCCCAGUGGCAGAUACUGGCUUCGCCCCAGCAGCAGAUGCUCUGUCCCAUUAUGCUAUGGGUUGGGAGUUUGCCGCAGCAGAAGAUGCAGGGUUUGCCCCAGCAGCAGAUGUGGAACAUCACCAUCCUGUGAGCUUGGCAUUUGCCCCGGCAGCAGAUACUGAAUCUCACCAUGCUGUGGGUUUGGCAUUUGCCCCAGCAGCAGAUACUGAAUCUCAUCAUGCUGUGGAUUUGGUGUUUGCCCCAGCAGCAGAUACUGAAUCUCAUCAUGCUGUGGAUUCUGAGUUUGCCCCAGCAGCAGAUGCAGAGUUUACCCCUGCAGCAGAAGUCAACCAUCACCAUGCUGUGGAUUCUGGGUUUGCCCCUGCAGCAGAAGUCAACCAUCACCAUGCUGUGGAUUCUGGGUUUGCCCCUGCAGCAGAAGUCAACCAUCACCAUGCUGUGGAUUCUGGGUUUACCCCUGCAGCAGAAACCAGGCCUCUUCCUGCCAUGGAUUCUGGGUUUGCCUCUGCAGAAGCCAAGUCUGUCCCUGCAGCUGACACCAAGAUUGCUGCAGCUGAAGAGCUGAUGACAUCUGAGUCUUCUCUUGAGCAAGAGAAGCCACCCUUGGACAAGCCUCCCACAGAAGCAAAUGCAAAUGUGGAACAAGAAUCAAAAGUCCCAGAAGCUUGUGUUGAUCUUUUAGAGAAAGCUAAAGACAGCAGGCUGCCUCCCGGCCACCACGAAGAGCAUCUUCCAGAGCAGACGAACCACCUUUCAGAACCAGCAGGUGAGAGACACAAAUCGCAGUAUGCAACUGGAGCCAGGACUUUGCUGUCGCCUAAUUCUGCCCCACCACCUAAGUGCUUUCUCACAGAUGCUGUUCUCCUGUCCCUAUCAAGGAAAAAGCAGCAAAGGUUUAAUUUCAAGACGGUUGUUAGUGUGCACUAACGUGGGGACUGUUACAAAUAGAUGGUAGUAUUAACAUU